AUUGAACGCUGGCGGCAUGCCUUACACAUGCAAGUCGAACGGCAGCAUGAUCUAGCUUGCUAGAUUGAUGGCGAGUGGCGGACGGGUGAGUAAUACAUCGGAACGUGCCCUGUAGUGGGGGAUAACUAGUCGAAAGAUUAGCUAAUACCGCAUACGACCUGAGGGUGAAAGUGGGGGACCGCAAGGCCUCAUGCUAUAGGAGCGGCCGAUGUCUGAUUAGCUAGUUGGUGAGGUAAAGGCUCACCAAGGCGUCGAUCAGUAGCUGGUCUGAGAGGACGAUCAGCCACACUGGGACUGAGACACGGCCCAGACUCCUACGGGAGGCAGCAGUGGGGAAUUUUGGACAAUGGGCGAAAGCCUGAUCCAGCAAUGCCGCGUGUGUGAAGAAGGCCUUCGGGUUGUAAAGCACUUUUGUCCGGAAAGAAAUGGCUCUGGUUAAUACCUGGGGUCGAUGACGGUACCGGAAGGAUAAGGACCGGCUAACUACGUG
Molecule: ribosomal RNA, 490 nt
Filed under: uncultured bacterium
Lineage: Bacteria
Description: partial 16S ribosomal RNA
Rfam family: Bacterial small subunit ribosomal RNA
Source: RNAcentral